Molecule: transfer RNA, 72 nt
Organism: Ovis aries (sheep)
Lineage: Eukaryota; Metazoa; Chordata; Mammalia; Artiodactyla; Bovidae
Rfam family: tRNA
About the family: Transfer RNA (tRNA) molecules are approximately 80 nucleotides in length. Their secondary structure includes four short double-helical elements and three loops (D, anti-codon, and T loops).
Source: Rfam
UCCCUGGUGGCUCAGAUGGUAAAGAAUCUGCCUGCAAUGCAGGAGACCUGGGUUCGAUCCCUGGCUUGGGAA